Molecule: long non-coding RNA, 246 nt
Filed under: Linum usitatissimum (flax)
Lineage: Eukaryota; Viridiplantae; Streptophyta; Magnoliopsida; Malpighiales; Linaceae
Description: long non-coding RNA (LUSI_LNC000646)
Source: RNAcentral
GGGUAUGCACAUUCGCAGCUCUGAGGGCUGAGUUUCUGGUCAGCUGUGCAGAGUUUGGUCCCGCAGUUAGCUAAGCUGGUGGAGUAAACUUUGGAGGACUGUUGCCUUUGGAUUUGGCAGUAGUUAGUGUUGGACAGAGCCGUGCAGACCGGGUUUCCAACGAGUCUGAAUAUAUCAUAAGAUCAAUUUAAAAACCCUUGCUUUUGUGUUUUUGCUUAUUUCAAGACCAAAAAGUGACUCCAGCUG